Non-coding RNA from Chelonoidis abingdonii (Abingdon island giant tortoise), 982 nucleotides. NCBI's taxonomy places the organism in Eukaryota, Metazoa, Chordata, Testudines, Testudinidae. The record is from the annotation of a RefSeq genome assembly.
AACAGAAAGGGGAGGGGGGCGGAACUGGCAGCGGGGGGCGUUCACCACCCCAGCUCCAGCGGAAGCACGGCUUGCCUGCUUUUAAAUCUCCUGUCCUCAGCAGAACCAGCUUCGACUGUAGCUGCAAGAAAAGAAGAAAGCGAACAACUCGUGGAGCUGGUCAGAGAGGAGCGCGGAAGCUCCCACAGACUAGGAGCAGAGACUCCGAGAGGAUGUUAACAAUCCAGUUCUAUCUGGUUGUGAUGACUUUAGUAUUCAAAGGGAGCACUGGGGUGUCGGUGAUGCAGACGCAAGGCCCCGUGAGUGUGUCCGAGGGGGAAGGUUUGAGGCUUAAUUGUAGCUAUGAUGAUGCUACAGUGUAUGCCGUCUUCUGGUACGCGCAGUUCCCCAGCCAGUCCCCCCGGUUCCUCCUGAGGGACCUGGGACGCGAGGACUCGGAUGAACGGAUCAGAAAAGGGUUCAGUGCCACCCACGAUAAAAAGGACAAAUCCUUCCACCUGUCGAAACUGGCCAGCGACCUGAGCGACUCCGGGACCUAUUACUGUGCCGUGAGCGACACAGUGACACGGGCCGGCAGAGGCGCUGAGCAAAAACCGCAUAGGGUCUGUGGGGAGCAGAGGGGAAGCGAGCACCGGGAGGGAAAGGGAGGAAUGUUGCAAACACAGAACUUGGAUCUCUGGUCACCGGCUUGAUCCAAUCCAGGGCUUCAUCUUUUGGAGACACUAUACGGAAUAGCAUGAACCAAAAUUAGCCUAACACCAAUACAGUCUGUCAAAGAAACACAAGCAAACUCGACCGGGAUCAUCAGGGGAAAGUUUACAGUCUACAGGGAAACUGGCAUUUUGGGGUGGAGGAAUAUUUAAGUGCCAAGGAGAGGAAAAUAGACCCAUAGACAGAGAGACAGACAGAAACAUGCUCCUUUGGCGCUAGUGCUGCUGUUGGAGCUGGUUUAUUGGCCGAUUUACCCCAAUCUCUUUCCGUU